RNAcentral lists this transfer RNA (88 nucleotides) under Brevundimonas phage vB_BpoS-Bambus. RNAcentral describes it as "tRNA-Ser". It matches the Rfam family "tRNA". Rfam says of the family: Transfer RNA (tRNA) molecules are approximately 80 nucleotides in length. Their secondary structure includes four short double-helical elements and three loops (D, anti-codon, and T loops). RNAcentral also lists the same sequence under 1 other name. The record is from RNAcentral. Lineage: Duplodnaviria; Heunggongvirae; Uroviricota; Caudoviricetes.
GGAUGGUUGGCGGAGUGGCCGAUCGCGCCGGUUUCGAAAGCCGGAGGACCGCAAGGUUCCGUGGGUUCGAAUCCCACACCAUCCUCCA